This 71-nucleotide small nucleolar RNA is filed under the name Physeter macrocephalus (sperm whale). Its description in RNAcentral is "Physeter catodon (sperm whale) Small nucleolar RNA SNORD42 (ENSPCTG00005021727.1)". It matches the Rfam family "Small nucleolar RNA SNORD42". Rfam says of the family: snoRNA U42 is found in intron 3 of the ribosomal protein L23a (RPL23a) gene in humans and is also present in mice. U42 is a member of the C/D class of snoRNA which contain C (UGAUGA) and D (CUGA) box motifs. Most of the members of the box C/D family function in directing site-specific 2'-O-methylation of substrate RNAs. Lineage: Eukaryota; Metazoa; Chordata; Mammalia; Artiodactyla; Physeteridae. The record is from Rfam by way of RNAcentral.
GCGCAAAUGAUGGAAAAAUCACUAUUUGGUGGGGGGGGGAAAUGACAUGAACAAAGGAACCACUGAUAUGC